UACGGAGGGUGCAAGCGUUAUCCGGAUUCACUGGGUUUAAAGGGUGCGUAGGCGGUCAGCGAAGUCAGUGGUGAAAGCUUCCGGCUCGACCGGGAAACCGCCAUUGAAACUUUCUGACUUGAAUGCAGAUGAAGUGAGUGGAAUAUAUCAUGUAGCGGUGAAAUGCGUAGAGAUGUGGAGGAACACCAAUGGCGAAGGCAGCCUUCUGGGCCAACACUGACGCUCAUGCACGAAAGCGUGGGGAGCAAACAGG
RNAcentral lists this ribosomal RNA (253 nucleotides) under uncultured bacterium. RNAcentral's name for it is "partial 16S ribosomal RNA". It matches the Rfam family "Bacterial small subunit ribosomal RNA", at positions 524 to 776 of the family's 1533-position model. The record is from RNAcentral.